RNAcentral lists this ribosomal RNA (900 nucleotides) under uncultured bacterium. Its description in RNAcentral is "bacterial SSU rRNA". It matches the Rfam family "Bacterial small subunit ribosomal RNA", at positions 41 to 902 of the family's 1533-position model. The record is from RNAcentral.
GGGGAGGCUAAUCUGCAAGUCGAGCGAGCUUGCCUAGAUGAUUUUAGUGCUUGCACUAAAUGAAACUAGAUACAAGCGAGCGGCGGACGGGUGAGUAACACGUGGGUAACCUGCCCAAGAGACUGGGAUAACACCUGGAAACAGAUGCUAAUACCGGAUAACAACACUAGACGCAUGUCUAGAGUUUGAAAGAUGGUUCUGCUAUCACUCUUGGAUGGACCUGCGGUGCAUUAGCUAGUUGGUAAGGUAACGGCUUACCAAGGCAAUGAUGCAUAGCCGAGUUGAGAGACUGAUCGGCCACAUUGGGACUGAGACACGGCCCAAACUCCUACGGGAGGCAGCAGUAGGGAAUCUUCCACAAUAGACGAAAGUCUGAUGGAGCAACGCCGCGUGAGUGAAGAAGGGUUUCGGCUCGUAAAGCUCUGUUGGUAGUGAAGAAAGAUAGAGGUAGUAACCGGCCUUUAUUUGACGGUAAUUACUUAGAAAGUCACGGCUAACUACGUGCCAGCAGCCGCGGUAAUACGUAGGUGGCAAGCGUUGUCCGGAUUUAUUGGGCGUAAAGCGAGUGCAGGCGGUUCAAUAAGUCUGAUGUGACAGCCUUCGGCUCAACCGGAGAAUUGCAUCAGAAACUGUUGAACUUGAGUGCAGAAGAGGAGAGUGGAACUCCAUGUGUAGCGGUGGAAUGCGUAGAUAUAUGGAGGAACACCAGUGGCGAAGGCGGCUCACUGGACUGUAACUGACGUUGAGGCUCGAAAGCGUGGGGAGCAAACAGGAUUAGAUACCCUGGUAGUCCACGCCGUAAACGAUGAUCACUANGUGUGGGUGGGUAUGGACCCAUCGGUGCCGCAGCAAACGCAAUAAGUGAUCCCACUGGGGAGUACGUUCGCAAGAAUGAAACUC